Equus quagga is the source of this 1740-nucleotide long non-coding RNA. RefSeq lists it as uncharacterized. Lineage: Eukaryota; Metazoa; Chordata; Mammalia; Perissodactyla; Equidae. The record is from RefSeq and is a predicted model, not a curated record. The transcript is spliced from 3 exons.
AAGUAGGAGACGAGGUUAAGAAGACUGGCUGGCACCAAAGGGUACCUGACAAAGGCACUGGGGUGAGUGGCUGCAACAGGCUAAAAUAAAGAUUAAUUUCCCCUUUCAGAGCCAUGCACCCUGACCUGAGGCUGCAAUAGCCAUUGGAAAUGGUGCGUCUGGCUCUGUGUCUGCUGGCUGCUGCCCUGGGGACAGGAUGGAAGAAGGCCUCUAAGGCCAGGAAGUUAAUUCAGUUGAUAAUAAGGAGCCUGAUGAGAGUUUGGAAACAGGAGAGUGACGUAUAGAAUUGAGUUAGGCUGAAGGACGAAUUAAUUUAUGAGCCAGACACUGAGAGAGAGGCGAUGUGGGGCUAUUCCAAGGUUAACUGAGAAACUCUGAGAUGAACCAGUGUCCAUAUUUACAGGAUGAAGGGGAGAUGGGAGACUAGAAAACAGAAAUUGCUCAAAAAGGAAUUGAGCCCUUUGGAUGGGAAACAGGAACUCUGGUGGAAUGCAGGAGGAAGGAUUGAGCAAGAGAGAAGCAGCUGCCAACCUAUCCGAAUGGAAACAAACACCUUGAACACGACAGUGGACUUGAAAUGUUACUAAACUUUUUGGCAGGUUUCUCCCCACUAACAAGCCCGAUGCAGGAAUACAAGAAAAGAAUUAUUUCCCUUCCCCACUGCUGUGGUGUUUUCAGCUGAAGACAGUCUCAUGGAAGCAUCGACUGUCCCAAGUGGCUGACGAAUGCAGGAAGUUUGUGAAGUUGCGUUUCCCAGCAAGUGUUUUGUCCUUGGAAAGUCUUUCCCCGCCUCAGCCUUCUGCAUAAGGACUUCCCUGACAUCGAUAACAAGGUCCAUCCUCUCAUGAGGAAAGACGGCCGUGCCAGCAAAGUAUCCAGUGAAGGAAGCAGGACGUCCUGCUCAGAAGUCGCUCUUCCCCAGCCUGCCUGUGAACUUGGAAUUCAUUGCCUACUCUUAUCUCUGCAUAAAGCAGGGGAAGAGGUUCCAGAAUAAAUAAUAAAUACUGAUUGACAUUUGGAGUAAAUUGAGGACUUUGACACUUAUUAUUUUGAUCCUCUAGGGAAGCUGCCCUGGAGAGACAGCUCUACAAUCACUGUGAGCUCCAGAUUACCCUACCAGGGACAAGAUCACAUGUCAGAGCUUGGCCCCUCUUGGGGAACUCUGUCCACUCCCGAUAUGUGACCACCCUAGCUCACAGUCCGAGGUCCCUGAUGUGCUCAGAGCUGGGAGGUGACUGCCUGUGAGUGAGCCCACAUUCAAUGGUAAACUAUGUCUGAAAGAGACAAAAACAUGGCCAGAACUCUGGAUUCAAACACCUAGAUCCCAGAUAAGGGGCCUCUUGAGGCCAAAGCUACCCUUCCUCAAGGCUGCGGAGAGAAAUUCAGGCAUAGAGGAAAAGCCCAGAAGGGAUAAUUUAUGACUUGGACUUUGACCCAACCUCAGAUGUGGAGAUCAGCAAGAACUCCUUUAUCUCCAAGGCCAAAGGAAGGGAAGAGGAAGGCAGAAGUGCUCUUUGGAGCUGGGGCCCAUUGGGAAUUCAAGGAGAGCUCUGAGGCAUCCUCCACAGGACACAGUGUGCAGUCACUCAACAGUGUGCAUGUGAUUGCCAAGGUUUAUGGGUCCAAUCCUACCCAUCUAGGGACCUCAGUUGGAAAACCCAUGACCCAUAAUGAAACUGGAUGACCACUUCCUCACCCCUUUCCCUCAGCCCUCACAGAGGAAGAAUAAGAGACUGACAA